This is a long non-coding RNA of Lemur catta (Ring-tailed lemur), 1084 nucleotides long. RefSeq lists it as uncharacterized. The record is from RefSeq and is a predicted model, not a curated record. The transcript is spliced from 3 exons. Lineage: Eukaryota; Metazoa; Chordata; Mammalia; Primates; Lemuridae.
AAGAUUGUCUUGGCAUUUCAACCUUCUUUUAAUGGGAUGAGAGGAAAGCAUUAAAUGAUGCCUCUUUGCAAAGUAACGUCUGUGUUAGAAUCGUAGAACCCUAGGGUGUCAGAGCCCAUCAAUCUAGUCAGCCCCUUGUACAGAUGGGGUUACUGAGGCACAGAUAAGAAGGUACUGUGACUUGCCCAAGGCCACGUGGCUUGAAUCACCCUUGUGAAAGGAAUUUUUAUAUCUUGUUGCUAUCUUUGAGCUCUUCCCAAGGGGGCUAACCUUGCUCAGGGACUUCUCCAAUUACCCGUCAUCUCUCUUGGGUGCUGUAAUUGGGAGCCAGGAGAGAUGGCAGAGCUGGCAGCUGCAGAGGACCCCCAGUAGAAGGUAUGCGCAGGGAGGGGCGUCCCAGGUGGUGCCUUUGCGUGAUUCCUUGCCUCAGAGCUGAACUGGUUGGUCCUUCUGCCUUUUGUUCCCUCCUGUCAUGGCUGUCUUGCCCCAGCUCCAAGCAGCUGUCCACUUAACCAGUACUUACUGGGUAGAAGUGGUCAUCAUCAUAGCAUUAAGUAAUUACAUUUACUGUAUGUACACCAGGCACUGGCCUAGCACUUUGCCUAUAUUAAACCCCUCAGUCUUCACAAUACCCCAUAAGUUAAGUGCUAUUAUUAACAUUAUCCCUCUUUUACAGAUGAGGAAGCUGAGGCUCAAAGAGGUUGUAUGACUUGCCCAAAUUCAGGCAGCUUAUAAAUGAGAAUCAGGAUUUGAAACCAGGCAGUCUGGCUCCAGAGCAGUGACCUCUCUAGGAUUGAUUCCCCCUCACGUUGGCUCAAGGGACAGGAAUUCACUGCACAGUAACCUCAGAUGAAGAAAUGGGACAGGGACAUGACCAGAGAGGCAGUCAGUGAGCUGUGGAGCCCCAGCUGGACUCCUGCCUGGAGAGCUUGGCCUUCCCCUGUCCCGGGCUGCCUCCCUCAUCUUCCAGCUUCCCCGGGACACCACCUUCAUUUUCAUCUAUGAAGUGGCAACUUGAAAUAGAUCUGUGUCAGUCUCUCCAGCUGCUCGUCUUGGAUGACCUUGGCCUUCUCGUACUGCUGGA